Molecule: non-coding RNA, 115 nt
Organism: Triticum aestivum (bread wheat)
Lineage: Eukaryota; Viridiplantae; Streptophyta; Magnoliopsida; Poales; Poaceae
Source: Rfam
GGCAAUGGUGGCACGUCCAGUAUUUGGAGAUUCCGAUGGCUCCAGUAUCCUGUUUACAGGAUGAACCUACCUGGAGGCACUGUAUCCACAUGACAUUCACGGGCAAGUCUGAGUU